ACACGCUGGCGGCGUGCCUAAUACAUGCAAGUCGAACGGUCUUUUCUAUGGAAGCUUGCUUCCACUGAGAAGAUAGUGGCGAACGGGUGAGUAACACGUGGGUAACCUGCCCAUAAGAGGGGGAUAACAUCCGGAAACGGGUGCUAAUACCGCAUAGUUUCUUGAUCGCAUGAUUGAGAAAGGAAAGACGGCCUUUGCGCUGUCGCUUAUGGAUGGACCCGCGGCGUAUUAGUUAGUUGGUGAGGUAACGGCUCACCAAGACGAUGAUACGUAGCCGACCUGAGAGGGUGAUCGGCCACAUUGGGACUGAGACACGGCCCAAACUCCUACGGGAGGCAGCAGUAGGGAAUCUUCCGCAAUGGACGAAAGUCUGACGGAGCAACGCCGCGUGAGUGAAGAAGGUUUUCGGAUCGUAAAACUCUGUUGUCAGAGAAGAACAAGUUGGAGAGUAACUGCUCCAGCCUUGACGGUAUCUGACCAGAAAGCCACGGCUAACUACGUG
This 502-nucleotide ribosomal RNA is filed under the name uncultured bacterium. Its description in RNAcentral is "bacterial SSU rRNA". It matches the Rfam family "Bacterial small subunit ribosomal RNA", at positions 33 to 507 of the family's 1533-position model. The record is from RNAcentral.